UGGGGAAUAUUGGACAAUGGGCGAAAGCCUGAUCCAGCAACGCCGCGUGAGGGAUGACGGCCUUCGGGUUGUAAACCUCUUUCAGCAGGGACGAAGCGCAAGUGACGGUACCUGCAGAAGAAGCACCGGCCAACUACGUGCCAGCAGCCGCGGUAAUACGUAGGGUGCGAGCGUUGUCCGGAAUUAUUGGGCGUAAAGGGCUCGUAGGCGGUUUGUCGCGUCGGGAGUGAAAACUCAGGGCUUAACCCUGAGCCUGCUUCCGAUACGGGCAGACUAGAGGUAUGCAGGGGAGAACGGAAUUCCUGGUGUAGCGGUGAAAUGCGCAGAUAUCAGGAGGAACACCGGUGGCGAAGGCGGUUCUCUGGGCAUUACCUGACGCUGAGGAGCGAAAGUGUGGGGAGCGAACAGG
This 409-nucleotide ribosomal RNA is filed under the name uncultured bacterium. Its description in RNAcentral is "partial 16S ribosomal RNA". It matches the Rfam family "Bacterial small subunit ribosomal RNA", at positions 355 to 776 of the family's 1533-position model. The record is from RNAcentral. RNAcentral also lists the same sequence under 2 other names.